This is a long non-coding RNA of Rosa rugosa (rugosa rose), 4007 nucleotides long. RefSeq lists it as uncharacterized. The transcript is spliced from 11 exons. Lineage: Eukaryota; Viridiplantae; Streptophyta; Magnoliopsida; Rosales; Rosaceae. The record is from RefSeq and is a predicted model, not a curated record.
UAGCCGCCCACUCUCCAUGAAAUCUCUCGUCGUUUAUUUUUCGCCCACUCUCCUAUCUGAGACGGUCUCACCCGCUCCCCAGAUUUCUGUCUCUCUGAAUGAGGGCGAAGCUGGCCUCCAUGGGUGGUGAUGACCAAGGGAGAUUGAAGCAUUUGGAGAAUGCUGAGAGUCUGUUGAUACUCAAUUAAAUAAAUAAGGUGACACCACCUCAUUGUCAUCUGAGCUUCAAAAACAUUGUGAGUGGAGGUAUGCUCUUCUCCUCUAAUUUAAAUGGUUACUGCACUGGGAAUUUCCUUUGUGUCAUUGUGUUAGCAUAGAAUAUCAUUUCGAUCUAUUGCCUUUUACUUCAGCAGCUUUACAUAAUGCAUGAUUAUUGCUAGGUUUGGUUACUGUAUUACUUUGUGAGCUACCAUUUGCAUAAUCAAUUACAAUAUAUUUGCAAUUGGUUAUCUUUAAUACUCUACUUUUAGUAUUCUAUUAGACUUUAUUGGUUACUAUUAUCAUCUUUAAUUGAGCUCAGAUCAAUGAACACUACAAAAAAGAAUUGCAAUGGCUACCCCUAGCUAGCGUCGGCACUGAUUUGCCGUCGCUAUUGGUUCAAUUUUUGCUUCGGCAAAUCAUGCAGUGGCCAAAAUUACUACGGCAAAGCAUGCCGUCGUCAAAGAUCCGAUAUUUGCUUCGGAAAAAUGUGCGGUCGCCCAAAAUUACUUCAGCAAUAGAACACCGUCGCAAUAAUUGGCGACUACUUAUGGUUUCCGUAGCCUUAAGCACCAGCCCUAGAUAUUAUAUUUGACAAGGAAAAAAACAGACAUCGAUCAAUUUACUUAACUCUUGUGAGCCCUCUCAUUCUCUUUCUCAAUCUCGCCGUCGAUUUCAAUAAUCUUGAGAAGCCACCACCACCACCAAGAUCUCUCUCACUAUAGCCGCCGGUCUCGGGAUCUCUCUCACUAUCGCUGCCGGUGUCAGUGCCAAGAAAGAUAAAGAGCCUCCUUCUUCUAUUGGAGAUGCCUCCGAUAGGGUCAUUCAAUGACCAGUGGUAGAUUAACUGAAGCUGUGGAAGAGUGCCUAAAGGCAAUCAAAUGUGAACCAUCGUGUUCUCAUGCCCAUUAUAGGCUUGGAACUCUUUAUUCUAGGUUUGGUCAAGUUAAUGAUGCAAGUUGGCAUUUUGAGUUAUCUGGGAAGAAUAUUGGCUCAGAAAUUAGGCAGCGUCUAUUACGUAUUGAAGCUCACUAUGUAAAUACUAACAAGGCGAGGAAGGUUAAAGAUUGGGAUGGGGUUUUGAGAGAAAGCACUUUAUGUAUUGAAGCUGGAGUAGAUGCAUCAAACCAGUUGGUUGCUUUAAAAGUUGAGGCCCUAUUUAAGCUUCGAAGGGUAGAUGAAGCUUUUGAAUUAGUAAAUGCUGCAAGUCAUUCGAUCAGAAGAAAGUAGUCACAAAACCUUGCAAGGGGACAGUAUGCUUGCUGAUAAUUGAAAAUAAACUCAAUUUGUAUCUUGGAAGGUAAAUUGCGCUUUACUUAAUUAGAUUAGGGUUCAUUGUCCUAAUAUAAGAUUCUAAAUUGUGGAUUGUCACAUAAUAUAUGGCCAAAGUACACUAUAUCCCACCCCUGUUCUGGCCUUUUGGGUCAUUUUCAGUUUACCCUUUUUCCUUUUCAUUUAAACACAUUGCAUUCUUAUCACACCUCAGUCACUUUGAUUGCCUGAAAGUGAACUACCAAUAUUACAUUACACUUUGAAACCCAAGCUUCCUGAAUUAAUAGCCAAAGUGACUGAAGUACAAAAUUGUUCAAUUUUGAAACAGUAGUAUGUUUGCAAUGUGUUGAAAAACUAGAAAGUUGUGAAAUGAAAGCAAUCUUAAGAUAGAGGGUAGUAAAAUGUAAUUAGCCCUAAAUAUAUUAAUAAAAUCUAGAAAUACAUAAUGCUAUUGCCUUAUAUUUGUCAAAUAGCUUUGUGUUUAAUUAAGUCAAUAUCAAGAUGUCUAUCUUCUAGGUAGAGCUAGACCACUGGGACUAGAUCUCCUCAAGAUAAGUGAUUCUUCUUGUUCUCCAAAUAAGAAAUGUAGGAUCUAUGUCAAUAUCAUUGUAUUGACAUGCUGUGUAAUUUCUGUUUUUCAAACACAUAUGCCAUGGAUUUAUAGGUUAUUGGUUUAAUUGUAAAAGAAUAUGAUGUCGUGCAUUGAUGUUGAUUCAUAUUUUACUUGUAAUCCAUUUACAGUACACACCCAUGCUUUUUAUGUGGGGUUAUACUGCUCGCAUUUAUCCUAUAGCAGAAUUAUUUUGGCUUGGCUCGAUUGCUUUAUUUCCUGAUAUCUCUCUUUAAUGGCUAAGGGAACAUGGAUGUUGUAGUUAUAGCUGCAGAAUUAUGUCUUUUGUUCUCAUCCUUUUUUUUCUUGUUUGUUUCAUUUUACAUCAAUUAUUACUUGAGGUAUUCCCUGUUUUGCUGUGUAAUUUCUGUUUUAAGUAUAUUAGGAUAUAGCUAGUCUUUUCAAUUUAAUUCUAUAUGCAAUCUGAUUGAGAUUUUUUACAGGUAAAGAAGUAUUCAAUUUGCUAAAACUUCAGUAUCUGUAAGUGUACUCAAGUAUGUGUGAGUGAUUUCCUGUAUGUAAUUAAACUUAAAAAUAUAAAGUUUCAGUCUUUUCAAACUCUUAAACAAUCAUGUACCUAUAGUUUACCCUUAUAUCACCUCAAAGCACCUUCUAAUCUACCUUAUUUAAAAUGGUAUGUUUUCUAGGAUAUUGUUUUAAACUGCUGUUUAUCUGUAGUGUUUAAACUGCUCAUCCUCAUGAACUUGGGUCUCAUUCAUUUUUCGUGUUCCUUCAGAAUUACUCAUGUUUCUUGUUUAUGGUUUAACUACAGCUCCAACAUUUGAACUAGCACUGUGAAACCUCUUGGCUUUCAAUUUUGGUGUAUGUAGUUUGUUUUUGUUCGUUGCCUUAUGUUGUUCCCUGAUUGCACACUUUGCAGGUAUUUCAAAGGUCCUGAGAUUCUUGUUGAUUUACAAGAUUAUGACUAUUCUUUGGACUAGUGGAUUCUCGGUUGUAUUUUUGCUGGAAUGGUUGAUUCAAAGAAGUUUGGAAUGCUGGCAAAUUGGCAGCGGGAUUUCACCAUGGAAAACAUAUUGAUGCAGCUGAAGAAGGAAAUGACAGCCUCACACAACCGGAAGCUUGUCCAACCACCCGAAGGUACAUAUUUCUAAUGGGAGGCAACUUUGAAGAUUGUCACUGAUCUGUUGAAACGAUGGAUUGGCAUAGGCUGAAUCUCUUUUAUACAUGUACAAUAUUUCCAUUAUUGACAACUUAAGAUAUUUCCAUUAUGGACAACUGGAGGAAAGAAAGGAAAAGUGGUCCUCAAGCUCUUUAGUGUCACUCUCCUCUAUUGUUUUUCUUUUGGAUGAUUCUUGUUUAAACAUUUCUUAUUGAGAAUUUUAUCCAUGUAUUGAGUGAAAUGCAAUUAAAAUCAGUUAUGGAGUGCUAAUUUCAUGAUACAGCUCAUCCAGAAUUCAUAUUUCUGCAAGAACCAGAACACAUGCUCAACUUAAGUUGCUAGUAGCUGCUGGCAUGUUUAAAUGUUAAAGUUUUUAACAGGUUGAGGACUAGCAAAAGAAAGAUCAAAAGGCCAAUAAAGUACAUUAACUACCGGGAUUAUACACGUGGAGAUAUGUAGGAUGCUAUUGAUAGCGUAUCAAAGGCUUCUCAAAGUAAGAUAUCAAAGGCAUUUUUGCAGCAGCCCCCUAUUCAGGAACUAAUUGGAAGGGAUCUUCAUGAUAUAUAAUGAAUGGAAAUUCAGACAUAUUUCGAGGAGGCUUGCAACAACACUAGAGUAAUUGGUACAUGAAGUAGAUCGAGGAAGAUCCCUGCAAAGUUCAUCUUGAAGUAGCUAGAGGAAAAUAACUAACUUGUAAAGCUUAAUUAUCGAUCUUGUAAAUUUUGGUAGAAGUUUCAUUCAUUUUGUAACAUUUAUGAGGAAAAUUAAAGUGUAACAUUUCCUUUUAUAUAAGCUUCGUUCCUUUUU